RNAcentral lists this ribosomal RNA (1431 nucleotides) under uncultured organism. RNAcentral's name for it is "16S ribosomal RNA". It matches the Rfam family "Bacterial small subunit ribosomal RNA". The record is from RNAcentral.
GCUUAACACAUGCAAGUCGAGGGGCAGCAUGGUCUUAGCUUGCUAAGGCCGAUGGCGACCGGCGCACGGGUGAGUAACACGUAUCCAACCUGCCGUCUACUCUUGGACAGCCUUCUGAAAGGAAGAUUAAUACAAGAUGGCAUCAUGAGUCCGCAUGUUCACAUGAUUAAAGGUAUUCCGGUAGACGAUGGGGAUGCGUUCCAUUAGAUAGUAGGCGGGGUAACGGCCCACCUAGUCUUCGAUGGAUAGGGGUUCUGAGAGGAAGGUCCCCCACAUUGGAACUGAGACACGGUCCAAACUCCUACGGGAGGCAGCAGUGAGGAAUAUUGGUCAAUGGGCGAGAGCCUGAACCAGCCAAGUAGCGUGAAGGAUGACUGCCCUAUGGGUUGUAAACUUCUUUUAUAAAGGAAUAAAGUCGGGUAUGGAUACCCGUUUGCAUGUACUUUAUGAAUAAGGAUCGGCUAACUCCGUGCCAGCAGCCGCGGUAAUACGGAGGAUCCGAGCGUUAUCCGGAUUUAUUGGGUUUAAAGGGAGCGUAGAUGGAUGUUUAAGUCAGUUGUGAAAGUUUGCGGCUCAACCGUAAAAUUGCAGUUGAUACUUGAUAUCUUGAGUGCAGUUGAGGCAGGCGGAAUUCGUGGUGUAGCGGUGAAAUGCUUAGAUAUCACGAAGAACUCCGAUUGCGAAGGCAGCCUGCUAAGCUGCAACUGACAUUGAGGCUCGAAAGUGUGGGUAUCAAACAGGAUUAGAUACCCUGGUAGUCCACACGGUAAACGAUGAAUACUCGCUGUUUGCGAUAUACUGCAAGCGGCCAAGCGAAAGCGUUAAGUAUUCCACCUGGGGAGUACGCCGGCAACGGUGAAACUCAAAGGAAUUGACGGGGGCCCGCACAAGCGGAGGAACAUGUGGUUUAAUUCGAUGAUACGCGAGGAACCUUACCCGGGCUUAAAUUGCAGAUGAAUUACGGUGAAAGCCGUAAGCCGCAAGGCAUCUGUGAAGGUGCUGCAUGGUUGUCGUCAGCUCGUGCCGUGAGGUGUCGGCUUAAGUGCCAUAACGAGCGCAACCCUUGUUGUCAGUUACUAACAGGUUCCGCUGAGGACUCUGACAAGACUGCCAUCGUAAGAUGUGAGGAAGGUGGGGAUGACGUCAAAUCAGCACGGCCCUUACGUCCGGGGCUACACACGUGUUACAAUAGGGGGUACAGAGGGCCGCUACCACGCGAGUGGAUGCCAAUCCCCAAAACCUCUCUCAGUUCGGACUGGAGUCUGCAACCCGACUCCACGAAGCUGGAUUCGCUAGUAAUCGCGCAUCAGCCACGGCGCGGUGAAUACGUUCCCGGGCCUUGUACACACCGCCCGUCAAGCCAUGGGAGCCGGGGGUACCUGAAGUGCGUAACCGCGAGGAGCGCCCUAGGGUAAAACUGGUGACUGGGGC